CCCUUAGAUGUUCUGGGCCGCACGCGCGCUACACUGAUUCAUGCAACAAGUUUUGUCCUUGGCUGAUAGGCCUGGGUAAUCUUUGAACGUGAAUCGUGAUAGGGAUAGAUGAUUGCAAUUAUUCAUCUUCAACGAGGAAUUCCUAGUAAACGCAAGUCAUCAGCUUGCAUUGAUUACGUCCCUGCCCUUUGUACACACCGCCCGUCGCACCUACCGAUUGAAUGGUCCGGUGAAAUCUUCGGAUCUGAGAGAUGUCUGAUUAAUUUCGGACGCCUUUUGGAAAAGUUGCUUAAACCUUACCAUUUAGAGGAAGGUGAAGUCGUAACA
This 327-nucleotide ribosomal RNA is filed under the name uncultured eukaryote. RNAcentral describes it as "partial 18S ribosomal RNA". It matches the Rfam family "Eukaryotic small subunit ribosomal RNA", at positions 1470 to 1796 of the family's 1831-position model. The record is from RNAcentral.